AGGGCGGCCAUUGCAACCGAUUGGUCCAAGUUUCGGAUCUCCAAUGCGGCGGUGUUAAAUCGGUUGACAUAGGUUCAGAUGGAUUCUCCCUCCUUUUGCUUGAUGUUGAUAAGGAACUUCGAACCUCUCUGGAGACACCGGCUGCUAACAAAAUGAGCCGCAAACUGAUGGCUCAUCUGAUCAAAAGAGAAGUAGUACCCGAUUUUAGCAUCGAGUA
RNAcentral lists this long non-coding RNA (217 nucleotides) under Elaeis guineensis (African oil palm). RNAcentral's name for it is "long non-coding RNA (EGUI_LNC054806)". The record is from RNAcentral. Lineage: Eukaryota; Viridiplantae; Streptophyta; Magnoliopsida; Arecales; Arecaceae.